Molecule: long non-coding RNA, 794 nt
Filed under: Pan troglodytes (chimpanzee)
Lineage: Eukaryota; Metazoa; Chordata; Mammalia; Primates; Hominidae
Description: long non-coding RNA NONPTRT001912
Source: RNAcentral
UUCUGUUUCCGAGGAAUGAAACAGUAUCUACAGAAUAAGACCAAAACUAGUAUCAAAAAUCCUCCCCUCUGUAACACUGUGUACUAAAAACAGACAGGACUUUGAGACCUGCCUGGGUAACACAAAAGCACAAUAAAGUGAAGCACAAUAAAACAAGGUGUGCCUAUAUAUAAUAAAAUAAAAUAAUAAAUAUGACAUGGUAACAACAAACACCAUGGUUUAAUUUUUAAAGGCAUUUUCAUCCUUAAAAACACCUGGAAAUCAAUGCAAGAUGAUAUAUGGCUGUUUCUUUUCUACCCUACAUGAAAAACUGAAGGCUCCAAAUCAACCCAAUUUGGUCUGCAGCACUUUUCUAAUUAGUUUUUAAUUAUUUACAUGUUAAGAGAAUUAUCACAAAAAUUCCAACUUUUCCUGAAAAAAAAAUGGGAAGGGCUGGCAAUCCUAGGCCCAUUAAUCUCCAAGAGACAACAAUCAGAUUAAACCAAGAAAAGGAUGCAUUCUCCUAUCACACCCUACACCGAUGUUUGUCUCCUGCUUAUGGUUACUUUUUUAAAGUAGAUCUGCUUACUCACUUUUAUUACAUAUUUGGUGCCGUAAGCAUUUGUAAACCCUGCUUUUGUAUCAUUAGGUAAAUAUAAUAUAUACUAUAAGUUAACAAAACUAUGGAAUGACCUGUUUAGUCACGAAAGACAACACAGUACACAAUUCCAUUUAUAUAAAAUGUCCAGAAUCAGCAAAUCUAGAGAAAGGAGUAGUUUAGCGGUUGCCUAGGGCUGGGGUGGUGGGGAAGAAUA